GCUGCGGUGACCCAAUGGUUAGCGCAUUGGACUCAGGAUCAAGUGGUCCGGGUUCAAGCGCUGGCCGGGGUCA
Molecule: non-coding RNA, 73 nt
Organism: Desmophyllum pertusum
Lineage: Eukaryota; Metazoa; Cnidaria; Anthozoa; Scleractinia; Caryophylliidae
Source: the annotation of a GenBank genome assembly